AUCAUUCAGUUGGGCACUUUAGAGAGACUGCCGGUGUUAAGCCGGAGGAAGGUGGGGAUGACGUCAAGUCCUCAUGGCCUUUAUGUCUAGGGCUACACACGUGCUACAAUGGGUGGUACAAAGAGCAGCUAACUCGCGAGAGUAUGCAAAAUCUCAAAAAGCCAUCCUCAGUUCGGAUUGGAGUCUGCAACUCGACUCCAUGAAGUUGGAAUCGCUAGUAAUCGCGGAUCAGCAUGCCGCGGUGAAUACGUUCCCGGGCCUU
RNAcentral lists this ribosomal RNA (262 nucleotides) under uncultured Smithella sp. RNAcentral describes it as "partial 16S ribosomal RNA". It matches the Rfam family "Bacterial small subunit ribosomal RNA", at positions 1120 to 1382 of the family's 1533-position model. The record is from RNAcentral. Lineage: Bacteria; Pseudomonadati; Thermodesulfobacteriota; Syntrophia; Syntrophales; Smithellaceae.